This 259-nucleotide ribosomal RNA is filed under the name uncultured bacterium. RNAcentral's name for it is "partial 16S ribosomal RNA". It matches the Rfam family "Bacterial small subunit ribosomal RNA", at positions 524 to 777 of the family's 1533-position model. The record is from RNAcentral.
GACGUAGGGGGCGAGCGUUGUCCGGAAUUACGUGGGCGUAAAGGGCGCGUAGGCGGCUAGGCACGUCGGAUGUGAAAGGCCCGGGGCUCAACCCCGGAACGGCAUCCGAUACGGCUUUGGCUCGAGACCGGGAGAGGAGGGUGGAAUACCCAGUGUAGAGGUGAAAUUCGUAGAUAUUGGGUGGAACACCGGUGGCGAAAGCGGCUCUCGUGGCCCGGUUCUGACGCGUGAGGCGCGAAAGCGUGGGGAGCAAAGCGGG